RNAcentral lists this long non-coding RNA (204 nucleotides) under Olea europaea subsp. europaea. The record is from RNAcentral. Lineage: Eukaryota; Viridiplantae; Streptophyta; Magnoliopsida; Lamiales; Oleaceae.
AAGAUAUCAAGCUGUGCCAUUCUUUGGAAACACAGGCGAACCUGCAAAGAAACUUCUCAGGGAGUCUGGAUAACACGUCAACUAAUAAGUUGGUUGGUAGUUCAUUCAAACUCAUAUUUUUCUUCUCUACAAAUUGUUCUUCCAUCAAAAGACGGAGGAAGAUAUUUGCUUUGUGUGAGCUAAAUUUUGGUUUUGGGAGAGAAU